RNAcentral lists this ribosomal RNA (453 nucleotides) under uncultured Prevotellaceae bacterium. RNAcentral's name for it is "bacterial SSU rRNA". It matches the Rfam family "Bacterial small subunit ribosomal RNA", at positions 341 to 792 of the family's 1533-position model. The record is from RNAcentral. Lineage: Bacteria; Pseudomonadati; Bacteroidota; Bacteroidia; Bacteroidales; Prevotellaceae.
ACGGAAGGCAGCAGUGAGGAAUAUUGGUCAAUGGAGGCAACUCUGAACCAGCCAUCUCGCGUGAAGGAAUACGGCCCUACGGGUCUUAAACUUCUUUUAUAUGGGAAUAAAGUGAGCCACGCGUGGUUUUUUGUAUGUACCAUAUGAAUAAGCAUCGGCUAAUUCCGUGCCAGCAGCCGCGGUAAUACGGAAGAUGCGAGCGUUAUCCGGAUUUAUUGGGUUUAAAGGGAGCGUAGGCGGGUCCUUAAGUCAGUGGUCAAAGCGUGUGGCUCAACCAUACCACGCCGUUGAUACUGGGGACCUUGAGUGCACAUAAGGAUGGUGGAAUUCGUCGUGUAGCGGUGAAAUGCUUAGAUAUGACGAAGAACUCCGAUUGCGAAGGCAGCUGUCCGGGGUGUAACUGACGCUAAUGCUCGAAAGUGCGGGUAUCAAACAGGAUUAGAUACCCUGGUA